CCUACGGGAGGCAGCAGUGGGGAAUCUUGCACAAUGGGCGCAAGCCUGAUGCAGCCAUGCCGCGUGUAUGAAGAAGGCCUUCGGGUUGUCAAGUACUUUCAGUCGUGAGGAAGGUGUUAAGGUUAAUAACCUUAGCAAUUGACGUUAGCGACAGAAGAAGCACCGGCUAACUCCGUGCCAGCAGCCGCGGUAAUACGGAGGGUGCGAGCGUUAAUCGGAAUUACUGGGCGUAAAGGGCACGCAGGCGGUUAAUGAAGAUGGAUGUGAAAUCGCCGGUCUUAACCUGGGAAUGGCAUGCAAGACUUGUUAGAGUGAGACAUGUAGAGGGGGGUAGAAUUCCAUGUGGAGCUGUGAAAUGCGUAGGGGGGUGGAGGGAUACCGGUGGCGAAGGCGGCCCCCUGGACAAAGACUGACGAUCAUGGGCGAAAGCGUGGGGAGCAAACAGGAUUAGAUACCCCAGUAGUC
Molecule: ribosomal RNA, 465 nt
Filed under: uncultured Arsenophonus sp.
Lineage: Bacteria; Pseudomonadati; Pseudomonadota; Gammaproteobacteria; Enterobacterales; Morganellaceae
Description: bacterial SSU rRNA
Rfam family: Bacterial small subunit ribosomal RNA
Source: RNAcentral